AAACUCCAAAAUGAAUUUAAAGGCCAAGUUUUCAACAACAAUAAAACAAUUUCAUAGACCCUUCAAUUUCUACAUAUAGAUAGUACAAUGUUAGUUUGUUUAUUAACGUGUUAAUAGAUCUACAAGUGAAGAUUGUAGUGAGUAUAAAUCAUGAACAAGUUUUUAUUCAUUUGUCUUAUUCUCCUUGCUACUGAGAUGGUGGUACAAAUCGAUGGAAUACGUACUGAAAGAAGGAUUUAUCAUUUUCAAGGGAUUUGUUUUAGUGAACGCAGUUGUGCUAGAAUUUGUAAUAUUGAAGGUUAUGUUGCAGGUGGUAUAUGCAAUGAAACCAAAAGUGGGUUCUAUAAUCAUUGCUAUUGCAGAAGGGGUUUGUAACAAAAGUCGGUACUCUUGUGUUUUUUGUCGUCUUUAUAAUAAUUUGCAUCUUGUGUUAUUGUUUCUCAAUGUAUUUUUCAUCUAAAAAGUAGAAAUAUUUUGCACCAUUUUCAUUAUUGAUAGUCGAACAUUUAAAAGUUGUUUUUGAGUGAGAUUAGAAGAUAUCUCCAAGAGAACAAAAUAGUUAUUUCUAAGGGAAAAUAUUGUUUUGAAACUGGAUUGAACUAUUCGGUUGAACCGGUUCAACUUUGAGCUGUAGUUUAGUUUGAUUUAGUUUGGACCAAUAAAUCGGGUCUAUAAAAUUUGGAAAAAACCGUUUUAACCACACAAAUCGAAGUAACUGCAAAUUUGGGACCGAUUUUGCUGAAGCAGAUGAUUCAAAAAAUCAAAGUUAAUUUUUAGGCUAAAUUACUCCCGUGGUCCUUUAAGUAAUUUAAUUGUAACACUUUGGUCCCUUAUGUUGAUUUCGCUACAACUAUGUCCUUUAAGUUGGCUAACGCCUUCAGCGUUGCCCUUGUCCACAGAUUCUGUUCCAAAAAACGUGAUGUGGCACAAACGGUGCUUAGGUGUGACUUAACCUUGCUGACUAUGUCUGUUAAGUCACUUAAAGAGAAAGAUAAAUGGCUGAAACUAACAAUUAGAAGAACAAAACAUAAAACCCCAAAUUCCAGAACCAUAAUUUUGAAAUUCAUCAUCAAUGGCUCAAUACAGUGGCAGUGGAACAAAUGUGAGAGCUGAGAACGCCUUUUCGCUAAUUUCAAGUGGAUCCCAAUCAGGAAUCGAACCAACAUGCAUGUGUGGAUCCAUAGCUGUGAUACGUUCAGUUAAGAAGAAAGGAAGGAACUUGGGAUGAACAUGAGAAUGUUGGCUGCAAUUUCUUUAUGUGGUAUGAAAACCAACAAAGUGAUGAAGGCAAACCAGAGACACCACCAAAUGCAUUCUUAAAGUGUUUCAAAUGUGAUAAAAAGGAGGUACAAAUUAAGAUGCUUAUGAAGGAUGACACAUACAAUAAGGAGAUGAUGAAGAACGUCUUGAAGAUGUUGAAGAUCCUUUUUUAUGCCUUGAUAUGUUUAAUUCUGAUUAUUGUAGUGUUGAUUUGUAUGUUGUUUAAAAAUAGGUGAUCUUAGUUUAUG
Molecule: long non-coding RNA, 1508 nt
Organism: Vicia villosa (hairy vetch)
Lineage: Eukaryota; Viridiplantae; Streptophyta; Magnoliopsida; Fabales; Fabaceae
Exons: 3
Source: RefSeq, a predicted model, not a curated record